UGAGUCCUACGGGGCGCAGCAGUGAGGAAUAUUGGUCAAUGGUCGGGAGACUGAACCAGCCAAGCCGCGUGAGGGAGGAAGGUACAGAGUAUCGUAAACCUCUUUUGUCAGGGAACAAAGACUGGGACGCGUCCCCGGAUGAGUGUACCUGAAGAAAAAGCAUCGGCUAACUCCGUGCCAGCAGCCGCGGUAAUACGGAGGAUGCGAGCGUUAUCCGGAUUUACUGGGUUUAAAGGGUGCGCAGGCGGUCUGUUAAGUCAGCGGUCAAAGCCCGGGGCUCAACCCCGGCCCGCCGUUGAAACUGG
This 305-nucleotide ribosomal RNA is filed under the name uncultured bacterium. RNAcentral describes it as "bacterial SSU rRNA". It matches the Rfam family "Bacterial small subunit ribosomal RNA", at positions 333 to 636 of the family's 1533-position model. The record is from RNAcentral.